CCUAGUAACUGCGAGUGAAGCGGGAAAAGCUCAAAUUUGAAAUCUGGCGGUCCUUUGCGGCCGUCCGAGUUGUAAUCUAGAGAAGUGCUACCCGCGCUGGACCGUGUACAAGUCUCCUGGAAUGGAGCGUCACAGAGGGUGAGAAUCCCGUCUUUGACACGGACUGCCAGGGCUUAUGUGGUGCGCUCUCGAAGAGUCGAGUUGUUUGGGAAUGCAGCUCUAAAUGGGUGGUAAAUUCCAUCUAAAGCUAAAUACAGGCGAGAGACCGAUAGCGAACAAGUACCGUGAGGGAAAGAUGAAAAGAACUUUGGAAAGAGAGUUAAACAGUACGUGAAAUUGCUGAAAGGGAAACGUUUGAAGUCAGUCGCGUUGGCUGGGGAUCAACCUUGCUCUUGCAGGGCGCACUCUCCGGUUCGACGGGUCAGCAUCAGUUUUGGCCGCUGGAGAAAGGCUAGGGGAAUGUGGCAUCGCUUCGGUGAUGUGUUAUAGCCCUUGGUCGUAUGCAGCGGCUGGGACUGAGGAACUCAGCCUGCCCUUAACUGGGCCGGGUCUUUUGACCACGCUAACGGGCUUAGGAUGCUGGCAUAAUGGCUUUAAGCGACCCGUCUUGAAACACGGACCAAGGAGUCUAACAUGCUUGCGAGUGUUUGGGUGGAAAACCCGAGCGCGUAAUGAAAGUGAAAGUUGGGAACCCUGUCGUGGGGUGCACCGACGCCCGGACCAGACCUUCUUGCGACGGCUCCGCGGUAGAGCAGGCAUGUUGGGACCCGAAAGAUGGUGAACUAUGCCUGAAUAGGGUGAAGCCAGAGGAAACUCUGGUGGAGGCUCGUAGCGAUUCUGACGUGCAAAUCGAUCGUCAAAUUGGGUAUAGGGGCGAAAGACUAAUCGAACAUCUAGAAGCUGGUUCUGGCGAAGUUUCCCUCA
This 924-nucleotide ribosomal RNA is filed under the name Agrocybe chaxingu. Its description in RNAcentral is "partial large subunit ribosomal RNA". It matches the Rfam family "Eukaryotic large subunit ribosomal RNA", at positions 79 to 975 of the family's 3401-position model. Lineage: Eukaryota; Fungi; Basidiomycota; Agaricomycetes; Agaricales; Agrocybaceae. The record is from RNAcentral.